RNAcentral lists this ribosomal RNA (477 nucleotides) under uncultured bacterium. RNAcentral describes it as "partial 23S ribosomal RNA". The stretch from base 1 to 222 matches the Rfam family "Eukaryotic large subunit ribosomal RNA", at positions 143 to 358 of the family's 3401-position model. The record is from RNAcentral.
GCGGAGUGUGGAGAGGAUGAGCUCGCGAGGGGGCGGACGGGUUCCAAUCCGUCUGGAAGGGCGGAGGCACGGAGGGCGAUUCCCCGUACGUGCUCGGUCCGUCCCCGACGAGCGAACGCAUCGGAGAGUCGGGCCGCUUGAGAGUGCAGCCCGAAUGGGGUGAUAGGUCUCAUCCAAGGCUAAGUACGUGGGAGACGCCGAUAGCGAACAAGUACGGCGACGGAAAGGUGAAAAGAACCUCGAAAGGGGGUCAAAAGCGCUCGAAAUCGUAGAGGGGGAAGCGGACCUGACCGACGAGACCUCGUCGUCGCUCGCGCUCGACCCACGCUUCGUCGCGGAGUUCCGGAGGGCUCGCCCCCCGGAGCCGCGGCGCGGCGGGGGUCGGGAGGCGCUCGGCGGCGGGGCCGCUUGCGCGGGACCGGCGUCGCGCCGAACGAGAGGUCGCCUCGGCUCGCCCGAAAGGACGCGCCGGGGGGC